This 315-nucleotide long non-coding RNA is filed under the name Homo sapiens (human). Its description in RNAcentral is "HSALNT0091710". The record is from RNAcentral. Lineage: Eukaryota; Metazoa; Chordata; Mammalia; Primates; Hominidae.
GCCAAUUCUAGCAUGCAACUUGUCUGGAAUUCCUGUUUGCUAAGGAAUCUACUUCUCCCCAUCAGAGCUCUCCCUUUAAACUAAAGAGUUUCUGCACAGCAAAAGAAACUACCAUCAGAGUGAACAGGCAACCUACAAAAUGGGAGAAAAUUUUUGCAACCUACUCAUCUGACAAAGGGCUAAUAUCCAGAAUCUGCAAUGAACUCAAACAAAUUUACAAGAAAAAAACAACCCCAUCAAAAAGUGGGCAAAGGACAUGAACAGACACUUCUCAAAAGAAGACAUUUAUGCAGCCAACAGACACAUGAAAAAAUG